Molecule: ribosomal RNA, 467 nt
Filed under: uncultured bacterium
Lineage: Bacteria
Description: partial 16S ribosomal RNA
Rfam family: Bacterial small subunit ribosomal RNA
Source: RNAcentral
GACGAACGCUGGCGGCGUGCUUAACACAUGCAAGUCGAACGAUGACGACCGAGCUUGCUCGGUCUGAUUAGUGGCGAACGGGUGAGUAACACGUGAGCAACCUGCCCUUCACUCUGGGAUAACCUCGGGAAAUCGGGGCUAAUACCGGAUAUGAGCUCCUGUCGCAUGGCGGGUGUUGGAAAGUUUUUCGGUGAAGGAUGGGCUCGCGGCCUAUCAGUUUGUUGGUGAGGUAGUGGCUCACCAAGGCGAUGACGGGUAGCCGGCCUGAGAGGGCGACCGGCCACACUGGGACUGAGACAUGGCCCAGACUCCUACGGGAGGCAGCAGUGGGGAAUAUUGCACAAUGGGCGAAAGCCUGAUGCAGCGACGCCGCGUGAGGGAUGACGGCCUUCGGGUUGUAAACCUCUUUCAGCAGGGAAGAAGCGAAAGUGACGGUACCUGCAGAAGAAGCGCCGGCUAACUACGUG